GAAUAAACUCAUCGACUCCAGUUGGAUUAAUUCUCUGCACAGGAAGAAAUGAGUAAGUACCAUCCCUUGAUAAUGAAAGACUAUCUCACCCGUAGUCCCGGUGUUACGCUUUACCAGGCGGCCCUGUUAACUGGCUACUUUUCACCAAUGAAGCAUCCCAUCACAAAGGGACUGAGGAUAAAGUGAUGACAUUUUGGACAGACAGGGAUGUAAAUUGCAGCACACAUGUAAGUUGAC
This is a long non-coding RNA of Pseudoliparis swirei, 237 nucleotides long. RefSeq lists it as uncharacterized. NCBI's taxonomy places the organism in Eukaryota, Metazoa, Chordata, Actinopteri, Perciformes, Liparidae. The record is from RefSeq and is a predicted model, not a curated record. The transcript is spliced from 3 exons.